This 466-nucleotide ribosomal RNA is filed under the name uncultured bacterium. Its description in RNAcentral is "partial 16S ribosomal RNA". It matches the Rfam family "Bacterial small subunit ribosomal RNA", at positions 28 to 506 of the family's 1533-position model. The record is from RNAcentral.
GACGAACGCUGGCGGCGUGCUUAACACAUGCAAGUCGAACGGAAAGGCCUCUUUCGGGGGGUACUCGAGUGGCGAACGGGUGAGUAACACGUGAGUAACCUGCCCUUGACUUUGGGAUAACUUCAGGAAACUGGGGCUAAUACCGGAUAGGAGCUCCUGCUGCAUGGUGGGGGUUGGAAAGUUUCGGCGGUUGGGGAUGGACUCGCGGCUUACCAGCUUGUUGGUGGGGUAGUGGCUUACCAAGGCUUUGACGGGUAGCCGGCCUGAGAGGGUGACCGGCCACAUUGGGACUGAGAUACGGCCCAGACUCCUACGGGAGGCAGCAGUGGGGAAUAUUGCACAAUGGGUGGAAGCCUGAUGCAGCAACGCCGUGUGCGGGAUGACGGCCUUCGGGUUGUAAACCGCUUUCGCUCAUGACGAAGCUUUGUGUGACGGUAGUGGGUAAAGAAGCACCGGCUAACUACGU